RNAcentral lists this transfer RNA (84 nucleotides) under Vreelandella aquamarina. RNAcentral's name for it is "tRNA_Leu_TAA". It matches the Rfam family "tRNA". From Rfam's summary of the family: Transfer RNA (tRNA) molecules are approximately 80 nucleotides in length. Their secondary structure includes four short double-helical elements and three loops (D, anti-codon, and T loops). The record is from RNAcentral. RNAcentral also lists the same sequence under 1 other name. Lineage: Bacteria; Pseudomonadati; Pseudomonadota; Gammaproteobacteria; Oceanospirillales; Halomonadaceae.
GCCCGGAUGGCGAAAUUGGUAGACGCAAGAGACUUAAAAUCUCUCGGAGGCAACUCCGUGCCGGUUCAAGUCCGGCUCCGGGCA